Molecule: ribosomal RNA, 493 nt
Filed under: uncultured bacterium
Lineage: Bacteria
Description: partial 16S ribosomal RNA
Rfam family: Bacterial small subunit ribosomal RNA
Source: RNAcentral
AUUGAACGCUGGCGGCAUGCUUUACACAUGCAAGUCGAACGGUAACAGGUUAAGCUGACGAGUGGCGAACGGGUGAGUAAUGCAUCGGAACGUGCCCGAUCGUGGGGGAUAACGCAGCGAAAGCUGCGCUAAUACCGCAUACGAUCUGAGGAUGAAAGCGGGGGACCGUAAGGCCUCGCGCGAUCGGAGCGGCCGAUGUCAGAUUAGGUAGUUGGUGGGGUAAAGGCCCACCAAGCCGACGAUCUGUAGCUGGUCUGAGAGGACGACCAGCCACACUGGGCCUGAGACACGGCCCAGACUCCUACGGGAGGCAGCAGUGGGGAAUUUUGGACAAUGGGCGAAAGCCUGAUCCAGCCAUUCCGCGUGCAGGAUGAAGGCCCUCGGGUUGUAAACUGCUUUUGUACAGAACGAAAAGGUUUCUACUAAUACUAGGAGCUCAUGACGGUACUGUAAGAAUAAGCACCGGCUAACUACGUGCCAGCCGCCGCGGUAA